RNAcentral lists this unclassified non-coding RNA (325 nucleotides) under soil metagenome. RNAcentral describes it as "partial contains 5.8S ribosomal RNA, internal transcribed spacer 2, and large subunit ribosomal RNA". The stretch from base 1 to 119 matches the Rfam family "5.8S ribosomal RNA", at positions 35 to 154 of the family's 154-position model. The record is from RNAcentral.
GAUGAAAACGCAGCGAAAUGCGAUAAGUAAUGUGAAUUGCAGAAUUCAGUGAAUCAUCGAAUCUUUGAACGCACAUUGCGCCCCUUGGUAUUCCGAGGGGCAUGCCUGUUCGAGCGUCAUAUUAACCACUCCCGCUUGCGGGGUCUUGGGCUUCGCCUCCGGGCGGGCCUUAAAAUCAGUGGCGGUGCCGUCGGGCUCUACGCGUAGUAAAUUUUCUCGCGAUAGGGUCCCGGUGGAUGCUUGCCAACAACCCCCAACUUCUUAAGGUUGACCUCGGAUCAGGUAGGGAUACCCGCUGAACUUAAGCAUAUCAAUAAGCGGAGGA